Molecule: transfer RNA, 63 nt
Filed under: Tettigades chilensis
Lineage: Eukaryota; Metazoa; Arthropoda; Insecta; Hemiptera; Cicadidae
Description: tRNA-Phe
Source: RNAcentral
AUUUGAGUAGCUUAAAUUAGAGCGUAAUAUUGAAGAUAUUAAGGUAAUGUUAAUUCUUAAAUA